CGGGUGCACUGAUCCAGCCGGGCCUUUCCCUCUGUGGAACUCCAUGGCCUUCACUGGCUGUGGUGGGGAAACAGGACUUUUACUUUGAAAAAAUUAGAGUGCUCCAGGCAGGCCUAUGCUCGAAUACAUUAGCAUGGAAUAAUAGAAUAGGACGUGUGGUUCUAUUUUGUUGGUUUCUAGGACCGCCGUAAUGAUUAAUAGGGACAGUCGGGGGCAUCAGUAUUCAAUUGUCAGAGGUGAAAUUCUUGGAUCUAUUGAAGACUAACUACUGCGAAAGCAUUUGCCAAGGAUGUUUUCAUUGAUAAGGAACGAAAGUUAGGGGAUCGAAGACGAUCAGAUACCGUCGUAGUCUUAACUAUAAACUAUGCCGACUAGGGAUCGGACGAUGUUAUUCUUUGACGCGUUCGGCACCUUUCGAGAAAUCAAAGUGCUUGGGCUCCAGGGGGAGUAUGGUCGCAAGGCUGAAACUUAAAGAAAUUGACGGAAGGGCACCACCAGGGGUGGAACCUGCGGCUUAAUUUGACUCAACACGGGGAAACUCACCAGGUCCAGACACAGUGAGGAUUGACAGAUUGAGAGCUCUUUCUUGAUUCUGUGGGUGGUGGUGCAUGGCCGUUCUUAGUUGGUGGAGUGAUUUGUCUGCUUAAUUGCGAUAACGAACGAGACCUUAACCUGCUAAAUAGCCCGUACUGCUUUGGCAGUUCGCCGGCUUCUUAGAGGGACUAUCGG
This 729-nucleotide ribosomal RNA is filed under the name uncultured eukaryote. RNAcentral's name for it is "SSU rRNA". It matches the Rfam family "Eukaryotic small subunit ribosomal RNA", at positions 670 to 1426 of the family's 1831-position model. The record is from RNAcentral.